AGGGUUUUCUACUCCGUAAGAAGGGGCAGACCCAGCCCAGAGGAGCAACUCCAAGCUCAAGGAGAAGUGAACCCAAGAGAUAAAUAAGUGAAUAGCAGCAAUUAAAAAACCAGACCAACUCUGUGCGCUGUUCUCAGCAGGUGGCACAUUGAUGCAGGAGUGACCUGACCUGUAGGCUGUCCCACCCCAACACCAGCUGGUCAGCUGCAGGGGGUGUGAAACAGGAGCUACCCAUCCUCUGACCUCAAAGCCUGCAUCCUCCCUGGCUGUGGCCCUUUGCCUGUCCAAGAGUGGGACACACAGCAUGGCUGCAGAGCAGCUGGCACAGCCCUGGGUCAUGUGAGGUCUGGCUCAUCUAAGCUGGGGCAACAAGAGGCAGCAUCAACUGGAGCACCUCAACACCAUCGCUGAGGAUCUCUCGUUGCAUUCCUUGCCAGUUGUGGCUUCUUACUGACUUUCCAUUAAACCAGUUCAGUGUGUUUUCAUACACUCUCACCCCAAGAUGCCAGUGAUCUUGCCUGUGUGUUUACUCAUCUCAAGGUCUGAGAAGAAGUAGUAAAAAUACUCAAGUCAAUUUAGGGCUGUGGGAUUUGACUUCUCAAGGAGUUUGCCUGCUGCUAGCUGAGCCCCCAACUUCAUUAGUAAGCCUCUCCUGCCAACCAUAGGAAACCUUUACCUCCUGGUAAAAGAUCCCCUGGCUUGCCAUAUCUCCACAGAACGUAUUCACCAACAGAAGGGAGGAAGAAACAUGAAAGAAAUUUGCAUAUUUUUGUGGCCAGCUGCAGACAGAAAAAGAUAUCUUCAUUCAGACAUCACUGCUGCUCAGAUGUGCUGCUGGAUGUGUCUGGUACAGGACCGGCAAACAGGCACUUUUCCCAUGACAAGCUGAGCUUUCCUGUAACAUCAUCACUUUUCUGCUGGACAGAUCUGUUUAGAAUUUUACAGAUUUUCUUACAGGCUUCAUGUUGCCUGAAGAUGGGCAUGGGACAACCCUUCAAUGUUUUUCCACUAAGAUUUUAUUGAAAAGAUCCAGUGCCAUUUCAAUGAAUCUAAAACAAUAUUCAGGUCAUUUUGAGUCCAUCUCUAAUAUCUUCAGUAGUUUUUCUGUUAACAUCUGUGGUGAAGUUUUCAAAUAAUGCCAUAAUGAGGAUGUCAACUGUAACACUUACAAACCCCACUGCUGCAUCUUUCUUCUUUCUAGUGUAGAGUAGCAUUACUGAACCCCAACUAAAUGCUCUCAUACACCUCAUGCUCCCAUAAAGAACUUUACCUAAACUAAAGUCAAGGGUAUAUGGAGGACAGUCUCACACUCCUUGUCAGAAGCUGAUUUGGGUGAAAUGUUGAAAGCCAGUAUCUAGAAACCCAUGAAAUCACCUCCAAAAUCCCACUGGCUCAAAUUGAAUUUGUGAAUCAAGACCUGUUGCAGUCAUCUGACAGCAACCCUUCCAUUGACUCCAGUGAGGUUUGCAUCAGACCCAUUUCUUACCUGUUUUUGUGUCUCAACAUGCAACAUGUGAAGGCCUCCAGAGUUUGAACGUGGUCUUGUAUCUGGACACAAUAAAAGCUGCAAUAAGAGCCUUGUGGUGUGUAGUGCUCAGCUUUGAACAAUACAUCAGGGGAAGACUUUUUAUCUCCAUUCUGCAGAAAGAAGGGAUUAAAGUGGUUUGAAAGACUUCUCUUAAACAAAGAGCUUGAGAGGGUGGGACUAAUAAAGCUGAGCAUGAUAAGUGUGGGUUCAUGACUAAAGAGAAAUCUACAUUUCAGGCACAGUGUGCAGAAAAGGCUCCUUGGCAGGACUGAAAGAUAGUGCUUUGCUUCUUCUGGAAAUCAAAUAUACCAUUAACAACUGUUCUAAAAGACAAGGAAGAGGAGGAGGAGGAGGUGUAGAAGGAGGAGAAAGUGGAGGAGGAGAGAACCACCAAAGACCAACAGUUUUCAGCCAGACGAUGCAUUUUCCAUGUAGCACAGGAGCUGUUACAUUCUGGCACCCUCUCCUAGUGUUGGACGGGAGUGCUUUGGUAAAGCUGGGAAGGCAGAUUUCCACAUCUCAUUGCAAGAGACACGAAACAACCCCCCCAGGCAGAUUUCCACUGGCAAACAAGCAGAAUGCAGCACAGAAAUAAAUAAAGAAAUCACUAUUAAAUCAUUCUGUGAGGAAUAUCAUGGUUUGGCAUGCAAACAUCUCUAUCUGGAGGAGCCAAUGCUUGUCAAGUAAAAACACACAAAAUUCCCAGCCUAUCCUACUAUCAGGAGCUUGUUAUUACAGUGGUAAGGUCCAACAAGGAUGAAACUAACUAAGUAACGUUUCUAAAAGCUUGAACUAACCAUCUCACCCCACUGAACAGCAUUGCAUCUGGGCCUCAGUCCCAGAAAAACCUUCAGUGUUUUGGAUCUGUCAACAGCAGGCUUCAGGAGUCCAAAAUCCAGGCUCGAAAUCUCUUUCUCGAAGUUGGGAAUAGUUUGAAGCAGUUUCUGGGGUUGUGUGUCUUUACCUAAAACAAAGAAACACCUGCUGUGUGCUGGGAUGUGCACCCUGCUGUGAUCUCAGCCCAGUGCUUAAGAAUGUAACAUGGAAAUGCUUCUCCCAGUGGAAUGAUCUCUAAGUAGCAGCCUGCCUACUUCUACAGAAUGAUAAAGCUGGGAACACUCCAUGGUGCUAAUCCUGCAAAAUCCUUUUUAAAAACCAGUUUUUGUGUUCAUAAUCUAAUAAAUUUGACUUUUCAGAGCUGUUGUGUUUCCUAUGCAGAUUCCCUUACUGGGCUUGCUAAAUUUUGGUGCAAUUUCAUAAGAAAGAAAAAAUAUCAAAGCCCCCAAGCAAAGGCUUGGGGAGGUUUUAGUCGUGUGUGUAAAUACUUGAUUGGGUUAGUAAAGCAGUUUGAGACAGCAUUUGCUCAGCAGUGCCCAGUGGCAGGACAAGAGACUAUCUGCACAAAUUAAAACACAACUAAUUCCACUUAAACAAAAGAGAAUACUUUUUUACUCUGGAAGGGGUGAAACACUGGAGUGGAUUGCCCAGCGAAGUUGCAGAGUCUCCUUCCUUGGGGAUAUGAGAACCCCAACUGGACACAGUCCCAGACAACACGUUCCAGCUGACUGUGGUGUGAGCAGGAGGUUGGAUUGGAUGAUCUCCAGAGGUGCCUUCCAGCCCCAGCUGUUCUGUGACUCCAGGAUUUUCUGAUGUGUGAGAUGCUGACCUCUCCAGACCUCUGGGAUGCUGUAUUUACUGUGCAGCCCAACCAGCAGGUUUGCCUUCUCACGUAAAGUCUGUCUGACCCACUGAGGCUCCGGGGAGAAGCCAGGAAUGACUUCCAGAGAGGCCAAGCCCUGGCUCUUUUUCCUUGCCAGAGGAGCACAAGCCCCCAGAGCCUGGUGCGCUGUGUCAGGCGCUGGCAGCGGCUCCGAGCCUCGUGCCCGCGGCAUUUUGAGCAGAGUUUUGAGAUGAGCCAGGGCAGGGCAGAGCUCAGCCCGCCUGCCCGGGCACAGCCUGCCUCGCCCCGCAGCCCUCUCCCCAGCAGGACAGCUGGGAUGGGGCAAGGAGGCAGCUGGAGGGAGAUGCUGCCUGUGUUCCACCCAGGAAACACCAUCCAGGAGUGCCAUCUGCUGGGUCCCGGCCACGCAGCCUGGGAGCGCCCGGAGCUGCCCUCGCACAGGUGGUGGGAGGCGCUGGGGAGAUUCAGCUGCCAGCAGGCUUCCUCCUCUCCUCCCAGGCUGCUUGGGCAUCCUCUGCCAAGGGCUGUGAGGGAGCCUGUGCCAGAGAAGAGCUGGCUGGUUUUAAACAACCUGAGAGUCACUGAAAUGAGAAAUGACAGGAGAGUUAGUCCAAGGAAAGUGUGCUUUCUGAAUCAUUACUCCAUCAUGCUACUCCAUGGAACUCAGAAAAUCACCCCAGGAGCUUUCAGCUCCUCCAGGCUGAGUGGUUAGGAUGGUGGAGUGGAAGCACUCUGCAGUGUUAAUCCUGUGAAAUCCAAUUUUUAUGUUCAUAAGCAAUUUAAGUACCUGUAGCAUUUUCAGAACUAUUUUAUUUCUGUAGCAGGAUCCAUACCAGCCCCUGUAACAGGGUUCCUUCUAAUGUGACACGCUGGGCAGUAUCAGAUUCCCAAUCUCUCCUCCUAAUCACUGCACCCCAGACCAGGCACUGUCCGUGGUGGAUCUUGGAGAGGGAACAGUGGAUCAUGAGUGCCACAGCGUGGGGAAGAAAUCCUGUAUGGUUGCUGCUCAGAGGCAGGGAAAGCUCACAAGUGAAACCUCUAGCAAUUAUCAAUGAUCUGCAUUUUUAACCAACUUGUGUACCAUCUAGACUGGUGAUUCAUCCCCUUGUGGCUUUAAAAUCACAAUAUUUAAGCAGCAAGAUGGAAUCCAGGGGUGGUAUUCAGAACAAUCUCUUAUCUGCAGUACUUGGUUUGUCAGCACUACCUUAUCCAUGUGGUUUAACAGCUGAGAGAAGGUCUUUUACUGAGAAACAUGGCCAUGUUGGUCCUUUUGGUCCCACAGACAGGCUGUGACUUCAAUGCCUGCAGUUCUUUGACAGCAAGUUCAGAUCUCAGACUGCCAUCUUGGAGAUAUUGGGGAAAAAAAGAAGAAAUAAAAAAUCAUUUGUGCUGACAAAAAGGAAUAGUCACAGGAAGAGUUAUCACAGAAUGGUUUGUGUUAGAAAGGACCUUCAAGGAUCGUCUAGUCCCAUUCCUAAAUACUUCUGGAGACACAAUGCGCAUCUUCCCACUGGUGAGCCUCCAGCCAGCUGUGGGUAGCCAGGCCUAGAUACCUGACCAAAGCACUGCAGCCUGCUGCCACCACCACUGUCACAUCCCCAGCAAAGUGGAUGAGGACCCCUUUUUUCCCAGCUCGGCCUCAUGGUGAGCUAGUGUCAGCCUGUCCACAGAGCUUGGGACAAUAUGAGCUGUGGAAAGGAACUGCUAAAUCUUUCUGAGGGCAAGAAACAAUAUUUUUUUGGUGGUCUUUUAGAGAAGGAGUAAAUUAGAUAUGCUGCGCUGGUCUACAUAUGAUUACCCUCCUCCCUGAGAGAGUGGUGCUCACACAGAAAAAAUCCCUGACUGUUUAAAGAAUACUUCCAAAACAAUGAAUAAUGGAACCCAUUUGGAAAUUAUACUGAAUUAAAUAAUUUCAAGAGGGUGUUAAAGCAGUGUGGCUUUGGGCAAAGGUGCAUCAGCAGCAGAUAAGAGGUAUCUGGAUUAAUGGCAAAAGUACAGGGAAUAUUCUUCCAUACAAUACUGAACUGUGUCAAUUUAGUGAAUGUUUCAAGUACUAAACUAUUGUGCACACUUUCUUAUCACUUGUGCCAACAAGAUUUUUAUUCUAUUGAUUCAUCUCAUUUUAAACAUAAAGUCCAUUCUCGAUUCACUGCUUUUAUUAUUUUACAGGAAUUAGAGCUGUGAAAUUGCAGUUCUAGUUUUUAAUGAAAUUAAAUAUUCUGUUCUCAAAUGAAUAGUUUGAACUGGUUUACACUGAUGUAAUCUAGACUGAAUCCUGUGUUUACAGAGGCUCAAUGGCAUGUAGGCUUGUAUCAGACAUUGAAAUGGGCUCUCUCUCCAGUUCUUGGUUUCAGCAUCCUGCCUUCAAAUCAAUUAGUGGUGGGUGGGCACUGGACUGAAAUGCACACCAAAAAGACCCUGAUAUAGAAAAGCUUCAGGAUCCAGUUAAGUUUAUGCAUGCUUUUUUGAGUGCAGAAAAUGUGUAGUGAAGUAUUUCACCAAACUGGACCCCAAAUAAAUUUUUCAAGCAAUGAGGUAAAACACAGACAAAUAAGAGUGGGUGAGAGGGAAUACUACUUUUCUUUUCUAUAGGGUUUAUGGGGGCACAGAUUACAUAUGAUCCUACAGUUCCCCACGUGGGAGGAAGGGGAUCAGAGUGGGCCCUGAUGUCUCCAGCCCUAAGCUGAGGAGGACAGGACAGAGCCUGGUCUCACCCACUGAUGGAGCCCAGGGAACUGUACAAACUGGGACUCUGUACAAACUGGGUGGCAAGGCAGUGGAAACAAGGGGGUGCUUGGCACCUCAGACCCAUGGCCAGCCUCCUUCUGCAGUGGGAGUCAGCAGCUCUCCUUCUGCAUCUGCUGGAGAGCUCUCGUGAGAGGAGCACUGGGCACUCUGUGGAGUGAGGGCUUCCGCUCUGAGCCAGGGGCUGAGCAUAGCUGAACAUUUCCACUCCUCCUAUGUUCUCAUUUGAAAGUGUGGUUUUUACAAGGGUUAUUUUCCCUUCCCAGAAAGUACCCUAAUUGGAGGGACUCUCCCCCCACUAAAAAAACCCAGAAUGACCCAUAGAAUAAAAUUCUUGACCUUAAAUGGACACGUUCUUUGCUGAAUAGACUGUUGAUGAAUUUUGGUUUCCAUUUUCCAUCCUGCUCUGAACAAUGCCCAUUCUUCUGGCAUUGCUAGAUGUUUUUCCCACCUGUCCACUUUGAGGGCAGAAAGAGACUUGAGGGCAGGAAAUCUCUGGAGCCAGAGUUUUGAGGGGAGGUCAAAUAUUACGGGAAGACACAGCAGGCUUGUACAAAAGCGCUUCAGCUUAACAUCCCUGAACUUUUCCACUGUAUCAUGGAACAGCAGCUGAUUAGCAGAGCUUCCACAUGGUACAGAAAUAACUUCUGAACUCCUAAACCUGGCACCCAUUUCUGGCCUUCGUACAGUGGGCAAAAUGUUAAUGACAAAAUGGGAACAUAUAAGGAUGAAAAUAUUGCAACCAUUUUCUACAAUGUGUCCUAAAGAAAUACUCCUUAUUUUAGAAUGCUUUUAAAAGGUAAAAAUUGAUUUGAAGCUGAGUUGACAUCCCCACCAGAACAGUAAAAUGUGCUGUCAGAAUUACAAAUAAAAAGUGUUACUUUAUAGACUAAUGGAUUUGUUUGCUGGCUUUGCAUACUCUGCUUAA
Haemorhous mexicanus (house finch) is the source of this 6882-nucleotide long non-coding RNA. RefSeq lists it as uncharacterized. Lineage: Eukaryota; Metazoa; Chordata; Aves; Passeriformes; Fringillidae. The record is from RefSeq and is a predicted model, not a curated record. The transcript has 3 exons.